Molecule: unclassified non-coding RNA, 2028 nt
Filed under: Limulus polyphemus (Atlantic horseshoe crab)
Lineage: Eukaryota; Metazoa; Arthropoda; Merostomata; Xiphosura; Limulidae
Description: transcription factor Sp3-like, transcript variant X3
Source: RNAcentral
GUGAAUGGUCGCCAUCUUGGUUUAUCGUGUAUUGGCGCGCUUCCCAUUUGUAUCAAACAUUUAAAGUGAAACUUCACAGAAUGUCUACAGUUGCUGUCAGAAAGCAACAGCAAGAUUACAUAGUAUCAAAUAGUAGUGCUUCGCAGGAAAUCCAGCCGUCCCCGCUGGCGCUUUUGGCCGCUACAUGCAGCAAGAUAGGGUCACCAGUCGAUGAGGGUGGUACCCAGGGAUCACCUGUCGUUAAAGUAGUAGGUCAAACUCAGGUCUUACAGACUGGAGAAAUAACUGGAAAUGCAGCUGGACCAGCUUAUUUCAUACCGGUUCAAUCUCAAGCUGUAGGAGUGUUGCAUCCCGACGGUACUGUGACGCAAGUCGCGAGAGUGAAUGGACAGUCGCCUCCGCCCGCUUCUGUUACAGUCUCUGCAGCUGGAAUCAAAUCAUUUCCAUCGUCUGUCUCGUUAGGAACUCCCAGUGCACAAGCUGGAGUGCCUGUGGUUUCUGUUAACGGUCAGCUAUUUCCUCAAGGCGCACAAACAAUCGUAGCCCAUCCUCAAACAUGUGGAAAUGUUGCGUACAGUGUUAUUUCUGCAGACCAACUCACGAAUUUGCAGAUUGAUGGACAAGGAGCUAUUUUCUUCCCUGGCAACUUUAAUCAAGUGGCUACAGGACAGACACAACCUUAUAAGAUCAGUGAAAAAAACCAAACUGUCGUUUCUCCAAAUAUACAAACUUUUAUUCGUGCUCAAAAUGUGCAAACACCAUCUUCAAUGGCACUGCAAAAUAACUGUGGAACAUUACUUCAAAAUAAUGUUACUUUUUCGCCACUUGGUGGGCAAAAUAUGGCCAUCCGUCAAGGAAAUAUGCUUCAGGGUUUUCAAUUUCCUAUGGGCACGGUGCAACAGACCAUUCCGGUCCAGAUUCCUGUAUCAACAGCAGCAGGCCAGACAGCAUUACAGACUAUUCAUUUGCCUGUUCAGGUUAUACAACCCGUCGGAGGAGGAAACAUGUUCACGGCAGGACACCCAACACAGGUCAUGAAUCCGUUAUCUGCGGGACAAAUUUCGACUCAGAUGGCUCAGCUUGUUUCACAAGGCCAUCUGCAACAAGUCCAGAUGGGAACUCCUAUUCAAGUGCUUCACUUAACUCAAAAUGCAGCCUCUUCAAAUCCAGUCUCUACAACAUCGACGGAAGCCUCUGGUAUCACUGUUCCAUCUUGUACACCUAGUACAGCUAUGGUAACUUGUGGUCAGCCCAUGACUAUCCAAAAUGUGCAGCUGUCUUCUGGACAAGUUAUGCAAGGUCACAUGGUGGGUCAGAUUAUCACACAAAGUGGAGUUGCCACCUGGUGGCCAUCAUCUGCUUUUAAUGUUUCAAAUCUAGUUGGUUUAAGAACACCAAAUGUUAUUCAGGUUCAAGGAAUCCAAAAUAUGCCAACUAUAGCUGGACUCCAAAAUGUUCAAGGUCAACAGGGUCAAUACCUUAGCAUUUCCCCAAAUGGAAGUGUCAUUGCUACACCAAAUAUCCAGACUGGUGGUCAGUCUCAAGUAACUGGACAACUUAGCCCAGUACAUACAAUACAAACCAUUGGAGGGACUCAACUGAUUGCUCAACAACUUCAACCUGAUCCUACUGAUCCAACCAAGUGGCAGGUAGUAGCAGCAUCCCCUCUGACUACUCCAAUUCAGCCUCAGCCAUCCAUCACACAAGCUGAACAGGUACCCACGUCCUCAACCUCCACUGAUGGUAGCAACACUCCAAAUUCUUCGCGCAGGAUACGUCGAAUAGCUUGUAUUUGUCCAAACUGCAGAGAUGGAGAAGGAAGUGAUAUCUAUGACAAUGGAUUUCAACCUUUUUUUCCUCAUGGACCCCUUCAUGAAUCAAAGACAAUCUUGCAGACCCUCAUACUCAGAUAGAUCUAUCUGUGGAAGCUGAUCCUACUGUGUAUAAAAGCAGCAUUGACAUAAAUAAGUAUUACUAUUCAUGGAUAAAUUACCUUGUAUUACAAUAAAACAUUAGAUCAUGUGUGGA